GGGCCCGCACAAGCGGUGGAGCAUGUGGUUUAAUUCGAUGAUACGCGAGGAACCUUACCAGGGCUUAAAUGUAGUUUGACCGGUCUGGAAACAGACUUUCUCUUCGGAGCAGAUUACAAGGUGCUGCAUGGUUGUCGUCAGCUCGUGCCGUGAGGUGUUAGGUUAAGUCCUGCAACGAGCGCAACCCCUAUUCUUAGUUGCCAGCGGUUCGGCCGGGGACUCUAAGAAGACUGCCAGCGCAAGCUGAGAGGAAGGUGGGGAUGACGUCAAAUCAUCACGGCCCUUACGUCCUGGGCUACACACGUGCUACAAUGGUAGAGACAGAGGGCAGCCACCUGGUGACAGGGAGCGAAUCCUUAAACUCUAUCUCAGUUCGGAUUGUUGUCUGCAACUCGACAACAUG
Molecule: ribosomal RNA, 403 nt
Filed under: uncultured bacterium
Lineage: Bacteria
Description: bacterial SSU rRNA
Rfam family: Bacterial small subunit ribosomal RNA
Source: RNAcentral